AGCUAGCAGCUAUACAAUUUACUCCAGGAGU
This 31-nucleotide non-coding RNA is filed under the name Mus musculus (house mouse). The record is from RNAcentral. Lineage: Eukaryota; Metazoa; Chordata; Mammalia; Rodentia; Muridae.